GAUGAACGCUGGCGGCGUGCCUAAUACAUGCAAGUCGAGCGAACAGACCAGGAGCUUGCUCCUCUGACGUUAGCAGCGGACGGGUGAGUCACACGUGGAUAACCUACCUCUAAGACUUGGAUAACUUCGGGAGACCGUAGCUAAUACCGGAAGAUAUAUUGAACCGCAUGGUUCAAUAGUGAAAGACGGUUUUGCUGUCGCUUAUAGAUGGAUACGCGCCGGAUUAGCUAGUUGGUAAGGUAAAGGCUUAGCAAGGCGACGAUGCGUAGCCGGCCUGAGAGGAGGAUCAGCGACACUGGGACUGGGACACGGCCCAGAAUACUACGGGAGGCAGAAGUGGGGGAUAUAGGAGAAUGAGCGAAAGACUGAUCCAGCAAUGCCGCGUGAGUGAUGAAGGGGUUAGGGUUGUAAAGCUCUUUUACCCGAGAUGAUAAUGACAGUAGCGGGAGAAUAAGCUCCGGCUAACUCCGUG
Molecule: ribosomal RNA, 472 nt
Filed under: uncultured bacterium
Lineage: Bacteria
Description: partial 16S ribosomal RNA
Rfam family: Bacterial small subunit ribosomal RNA
Source: RNAcentral